GGGUAUGUAAAUGCUUGAAAGUCAGAGAUCUUAUCAUUUCAAAAACCUUUUUAUUUAGAAGUAUGCAACAAGCACUUAAUUGUUUUGUCUAUAAAAGUUCAUAGAAUAACUGCAUGUUAUUUACUCUACUCUAGUUUGUGUUACGACGUUGUUUACAUGCAUGCAUACAAAUGUUUUUUACAACACUUAAAUUGCCGUUGGAGUGAUACAUAGAAUACGUCAAGUUGCCGCCAUUGAAUGGCUUUUUGAUUUUUGUUGACUAAAUCAAAUAUCAAGAGCGGUGAAAGUGUCAAGACAAAAACACAAGUGAUAUACAUUAUUGUGUGAAGAAAACGUUCUUGCUUGCAAAUGCUUCGCUUUCGUGUUUGCGUUGUCGUUUCUCCAGCUGGCGAUGUGUUUCCACUUUGUGAAUCCAAAUAUUUCGCCUCAUUCUUCAAGUGAUAAAUCGUUUUGAAAUAAAACAAGCACGAACAAAGUGUUAUAACAAUUGCGCCCGAAAGUCGAAAACCGGCGACAGCGUUUUCGAGAUCGUUUUUGAAAGUUAUAUUCAGGAAUGCGAACAGCCAUUGAAAAAUUAUAACCGCCAUUGCCUGCUUCCCAUUCGUAAAUACUCGGUAUUUGAAAGGAUAACAUACGAUAAAACAGCGGUCCAAUGCCAGGAAGAAAAUACUCAGAAAUGAAAUAUAAAGAGGAGCCGUGAAUAAACGAGAGACAAUGAAUCCAUCAGUACAUGUGCGCCAAUAAUAUUUCGCAAACUUGUACAAACAUAACAAAAGAUCCGAGAACGUAUUAUUCAUUAUAAGAUACGAUGAACAAUUUCUGAAGCAUCUUAGAGGAUCUUUAGCAAGUCCGUAGAGCAGUAUUGAGUUGCAUAAAAUUCCAGCCAAAAGUGAAA
Molecule: non-coding RNA, 895 nt
Organism: Paramuricea clavata
Lineage: Eukaryota; Metazoa; Cnidaria; Anthozoa; Malacalcyonacea; Plexauridae
Source: the annotation of a GenBank genome assembly